ACUAUUAUCCAGAACCAUGUAGUCACUGUGAGGCAACCAAUGCCUAAUUACCUAGCACAGACAAGCCAGUCCAGUUCAAGUGAUUACUAUUUAAAUUUUGCUGUCAUUUUGACUGUUCUUUGCUUCUUCUGUGGUACAUUUUUGGUUCUUUUGUGUACCAUUCCGGCCAUGGUAUUUGCUAGUCAAGCAAAAGAUGAAGAACUUCGUGGGGACACGGAAGCCGCAGAAAGAAGUCGCUGCUUAUCUCUGGCCUUCAGUGGGGGAGCAAUAGUAUUUGGUUGCGGUGUGGUCAUUUCUGCUUUACUGAUUAUAAUAUUUUCACAGCAACAUGAGUGACAAGAAAGACAAUAAUCAUUACAAUAA
Molecule: long non-coding RNA, 363 nt
Organism: Amphimedon queenslandica
Lineage: Eukaryota; Metazoa; Porifera; Demospongiae; Haplosclerida; Niphatidae
Exons: 2
Source: RefSeq, a predicted model, not a curated record